Molecule: unclassified non-coding RNA, 469 nt
Filed under: Magnusiomyces clavatus
Lineage: Eukaryota; Fungi; Ascomycota; Dipodascomycetes; Dipodascales; Dipodascaceae
Description: sequence contains 18S rRNA gene, ITS1, 5.8S rRNA gene, ITS2, 28S rRNA gene
Rfam family: 5.8S ribosomal RNA (bases 142-280)
Source: RNAcentral
UCGUAACAAGGUUUCCGUAGGUGAACCUGCGGAAGGAUCAUUCACAAGAUUAUAAUAUUUUAUUACUUUGUGGAAAAUUUGGUUGAAUUUACAUGUUUUAUUACAAAAAAUUAAUUAUAAUUAAAAAAAUAAUUUUAAGAAAACCUCCAACAACGGAUCUCUUGGUUCCCAGAUCGAUGAAGAGCGCAGCGAAUUGCGAAAUGUGAUGUGUAUUGCAGUGAAUCAUCAAUUCUUGAACGCACAUGGCACCCCUUUUAGGGGUAUGCUUGUAUGAGGGUGUUUAAUAUGAAAUUGCUUUGGCUUUUUUUAAAUAAAUGGUUUUUCAAACAUUGUUACUAAUAAAGAUGAAAGAAUCAGUGCAACAAGCUGUGUUGAAUCUUUCAAUUAAAAUCUUUUUUAGUUAACAUUUUUUAACUAUUUACGCCUCAUAUCAAGCAAGACUACCCGCUGAACUUAAGCAUAUCAAUAA